UGGCCGUAAACGAUGUGGACUUGGUGUUGGAAUGGCUCCGAGCUGCUCCAGUGCCGAAGGGAAGCUGUUAAGUCCACCGCCUGGGAAGUGCGGUCGCAAGACUGAAACUUAAAGGAAUUGGCGGGGGAGCACCACAACGCGUGGAGCCUGCGGUUUAAUUUGGAUUCAACGCCGGACAUCUCACCAGGGCGACAGCAGAAUGAUGGCCAGGUUGAUGACCUUGCUUGACAAGCUGAGAGGAGGUGCAUGGCGUGUGACUGU
RNAcentral lists this ribosomal RNA (261 nucleotides) under uncultured archaeon. Its description in RNAcentral is "partial 16S ribosomal RNA". It matches the Rfam family "Archaeal small subunit ribosomal RNA", at positions 748 to 1008 of the family's 1478-position model. The record is from RNAcentral.